GUAGUCCACGCUGUAAACGAUGAAUGCUAGAUGUUGGGGGGUUAUCUCUCAGUGUCGUCGCUAACGCAUUAAGCAUUCCGCCUGGGGAGUACGGUCGCAAGAUUAAAACUCAAAGGAAUUGACGGGGGCCUGAACAAGCGGUGGAGUAUGUGGUUUAAUUCGAAGCAACGCGAAAAACCUUACCAGCUCUUGACAUGGGGAUUUGGGGUAUUGGAGACAAUAUCUUUCAGUUCGGCUGGGUCCCACACAGGUGCUGCAUGGCUGUCGUCAGCUCGUGUCGUGAGAUGUUGGGUUAAGUCCCGCAACGAGCGCAACCCUUAUCGUUAGUUGCCAACAGGUUAGGCUGGGGACUCUAACGAGACUGCCGGUGAUAAGCCGGA
This 380-nucleotide ribosomal RNA is filed under the name uncultured bacterium. Its description in RNAcentral is "bacterial SSU rRNA". It matches the Rfam family "Bacterial small subunit ribosomal RNA", at positions 790 to 1167 of the family's 1533-position model. The record is from RNAcentral.